Molecule: unclassified non-coding RNA, 293 nt
Organism: Ictidomys tridecemlineatus (thirteen-lined ground squirrel)
Lineage: Eukaryota; Metazoa; Chordata; Mammalia; Rodentia; Sciuridae
Gene: 7SK
Rfam family: 7SK RNA
About the family: 7SK was discovered as an abundant small nuclear RNA in the mid-70s but a possible function has only recently been suggested.
Source: Ensembl
GGAUGUGAGGGCGACCUGGCUGGAAAUCUGUCACCCCAUUGAUCUCCGGGGUUCUUUUGGCUGAUCUGGCUGGCUAGUUGGGUUCCCCUCCUCCCUCGAUGCUCCUUGUGCAUCCAUCCUGAAGCUCCUUGCCAGAUUGAAGGUCAUGACCUUCCCCCAUAGUGGAGGACUAUUCUCUUAGUCGAGGGUAUGAGUAGUUGAACUCCCCUGCUAGGACCUCCAAACAAGCUCUCAAGAACAGCAGCUGUCUAGUCUGGUUCAUUAGAAAGGAUUUUUGUGAAGAGAAUCUACUU